RNAcentral lists this ribosomal RNA (721 nucleotides) under Shigella flexneri. RNAcentral's name for it is "bacterial SSU rRNA". It matches the Rfam family "Bacterial small subunit ribosomal RNA", at positions 69 to 779 of the family's 1533-position model. Lineage: Bacteria; Pseudomonadati; Pseudomonadota; Gammaproteobacteria; Enterobacterales; Enterobacteriaceae. The record is from RNAcentral.
GUAACAGGAAGCAGCUUGCUGUUUCGCUGACGAGUGGCGGACGGGUGAGUAAUGUCUGGGAAACUGCCUGAUGGAGGGGGAUAACUACUGGAAACGGUAGCUAAUACCGCAUAACGUCGCAAGACCAAAGAGGGGGACCUUCGGGCCUCUUGCCAUCGGAUGUGCCCAGAUGGGAUUAGCUAGUAGGUGGGGUAACGGCUCACCUAGGCGACGAUCCCUAGCUGGUCUGAGAGGAUGACCAGCCACACUGGAACUGAGACACGGUCCAGACUCCUACGGGAGGCAGCAGUGGGGAAUAUUGCACAAUGGGCGCAAGCCUGAUGCAGCCAUGCCGCGUGUAUGAAGAAGGCCUUCGGGUUGUAAAGUACUUUCAGCGGGGAGGAAGGGAGUAAAGUUAAUACCUUUGCUCAUUGACGUUACCCGCAGAAGAAGCACCGGCUAACUCCGUGCCAGCAGCCGCGGUAAUACGGAGGGUGCAAGCGUUAAUCGGAAUUACUGGGCGUAAAGCGCACGCAGGCGGUUUGUUAAGUCAGAUGUGAAAUCCCCGGGCUCAACCUGGGAACUGCAUCUGAUACUGGCAAGCUUGAGUCUCGUAGAGGGGGGUAGAAUUCCAGGUGUAGCGGUGAAAUGCGUAGAGAUCUGGAGGAAUACCGGUGGCGAAGGCGGCCCCCUGGACGAAGACUGACGCUCAGGUGCGAAAGCGUGGGGAGCAAACAGGAUU